RNAcentral lists this ribosomal RNA (596 nucleotides) under uncultured bacterium. RNAcentral describes it as "bacterial SSU rRNA". It matches the Rfam family "Bacterial small subunit ribosomal RNA", at positions 323 to 916 of the family's 1533-position model. The record is from RNAcentral.
UCUNNGUCGACGAUUCCUACGGGAGGCAGCAGUAGGGAAUUUUCGGCAAUGGGGGCAACCCUGACCGAGCAAUGCCGCGUGAAUGAAGAAGGUCUUCGGAUCGUAAAAUUUUGUUGUUAGGGAAGAAUAGUAGAUAUAGGAAAUGAUAUCUAUGUGACGGUACCUAACUAGAAAGCUCCGGCUAACUACGUGCCAGCAGCCGCGGUAAUACGUAGGGAGCGAGCGUUAUCCGGAAUUAUUGGGCGUAAAGCGUGCGUAGGCGGUUUAUUAAGUCUGAUGUGAAAUCCCCCGGCUCAACCGGGGAGGGUCAUUGGAAACUGGUAAACUUGAGUACAGUAGAGGCAAGUGGAAUUCCAUGUGUAGCGGUAAAAUGCGUAGAUAUAUGGAGGAACACCAGUGGCGAAGGCGGCUUGCUGGGCUGGAACUGACGCUGAGGCACGAAAGCGUGGGGAGCAAACAGGAUUAGAUACCCUGGUAGUCCACGCCGUAAACGAUGGGUACUAAGUGUUGGCAGAGAUGUCAGUGCUGUAGUUAACGCAUUAAGUACCCCGCCUGGGGAGUACGGUCGCAAGACUGAAACUCAAAUGAAUUGACGG